GACGAACGCUGGCGGCGUGCCUAAUACAUGCAAGUCGAACGCAGUGGGGACGGGUGAGUAACACGUGGGUAACCUCCCAUCAGAGGGGAUAACACUUGGCAACAGGUGCUAAACCGAUACUGAUGGAUGGACCCGCGGUGCAUUAGCCAGUUGGUGGGGUAAAGGCUCACCAAGGCCACGAUGCAUAGACGAGCUGAGAGGAUGAUCUGCCACACUGGGACUGAGACACGGCCCAGACUCCUACGGGAGGCAGCAGUGGGGAAUCUUCGGCAAUGGACGAAAGUCUGACCGAGCAACGCCGCGUGAGUGAAGAAGGGUUUCGGAUCGUAAAACUCUGUUGGUAGAGAAGCGGUAUCUAACCAGAAAGCCACGGCUAACUACGUGCCAGCAGCCGCGGUAAUAC
RNAcentral lists this ribosomal RNA (403 nucleotides) under uncultured bacterium. RNAcentral's name for it is "partial 16S ribosomal RNA". It matches the Rfam family "Bacterial small subunit ribosomal RNA", at positions 28 to 526 of the family's 1533-position model. The record is from RNAcentral.